Molecule: small nuclear RNA, 163 nt
Filed under: Salvator merianae (Argentine black and white tegu)
Lineage: Eukaryota; Metazoa; Chordata; Lepidosauria; Squamata; Teiidae
Description: U1 spliceosomal RNA (ENSSMRG00000023629.1)
Rfam family: U1 spliceosomal RNA
About the family: U1 is a small nuclear RNA (snRNA) component of the spliceosome (involved in pre-mRNA splicing). Its 5' end forms complementary base pairs with the 5' splice junction, thus defining the 5' donor site of an intron.
Source: Rfam by way of RNAcentral
UUAUAUACCUGGCAAGGAAAACACCAUGAUCAUGAAGGUGGAUUUUCCCAGGGUGAGACCCAUCCAUUGCACUUCAGAUGUGCUGACCUCUGCGAUUUCACCGAAUGCAGGAAACUCAUCUGCAUAAUUUGUGGUAGUGGGAACUGUGUUUGCGCUUUGCUCU